This 229-nucleotide long non-coding RNA is filed under the name Erythranthe guttata (spotted monkey flower). RNAcentral describes it as "long non-coding RNA (EGUT_LNC002405)". Lineage: Eukaryota; Viridiplantae; Streptophyta; Magnoliopsida; Lamiales; Phrymaceae. The record is from RNAcentral.
ACGUCAAAAAAAAGGGACGAAAAAUUACAUGUCUCCUCAUGUCUUCCAGGCAGGCAAAAACAGGAGCACAUCCAACUGCAAACGAAGCUCUGAAAAACGACGACUUUCGUCGAGCAUUGUAGGAUCAUUAAUUCCAUAUUAUUGUUGUGUAAAGGCGUUUAUACAAUAACAUUUUUAAACAUAACAUAGUUGGUUUCGUGUUCUAUUUGUUAUGCUAUUUAUUUUGUUG